Molecule: ribosomal RNA, 388 nt
Filed under: uncultured bacterium
Lineage: Bacteria
Description: bacterial SSU rRNA
Rfam family: Bacterial small subunit ribosomal RNA
Source: RNAcentral
GACGAACGCUGGCGGCGUGCUUAACACAUGCAAGUCGAGCGGUAAGGCCCUUCGGGGUACACGAGCGGCGAACGGGCGAGUAACACGUGGGUGACCUGCCUCUAGCUCUGGGAUAAGCCUGGGAAACUGGGUCUAAUACCGGAUAUGACUCCACGGCGCAUGUUGUGGGGUGGAAAGCCUUGUGUGGCUAGAGAUGGGCCCGCGGCCUAUCAGCUUGUUGGUGGGGUGAUGGCCUACCAAGGCGACGACGGGUAGCCGGCCUGAGAGGGCGACCGGCCACACUGGGACUGAGACACGGCCCAGACUCCUACGGGAGGCAGCAGUGGGGAAUCUUGCGCAAUGGGCGAAAGCCUGACGCAGCGACGCCGCGUGAGGGAUGACGGCCUGG